GCCGCCGUGGCACAAUCUGGUACUGCGCAGGACUGGAAAUCCUGUUUCCGCAAGGAUCUCCCGGUUCAAAUCCGGGCGGCGGCG
This 84-nucleotide transfer RNA is filed under the name Candidatus Woesearchaeota archaeon. RNAcentral describes it as "tRNA-Ser". It matches the Rfam family "tRNA". Rfam says of the family: Transfer RNA (tRNA) molecules are approximately 80 nucleotides in length. Lineage: Archaea; Nanobdellati; Candidatus Woesearchaeota. The record is from RNAcentral.